Molecule: ribosomal RNA, 253 nt
Filed under: uncultured Eubacteriales bacterium
Lineage: Bacteria; Bacillati; Bacillota; Clostridia; Eubacteriales
Description: uncultured Clostridiales bacterium partial 16S ribosomal RNA
Rfam family: Bacterial small subunit ribosomal RNA
Source: RNAcentral
UACGUAGGGGGCAAGCGUUAUCCGGAUUUACUGGGUGUAAAGGGAGCGUAGACGGUUACGCAAGUCUGGAGUGAAAGGCGGGGGCCCAACCCCCGGACUGCUUUGGAAACUGUAUAACUGGAGUGCAGGAGAGGUAAGUGGAAUUCCUAGUGUAGCGGUGGAAUGCGUAGAUAUUGGGAAGAACACCAGCGGCGAAGGCGAUUCACUGGACUGUAACUGACACUGAGGCACGAAAGCGUGGGGAGCAAACAGG